ACCGGAGCUUCGAGUCCGUCCCCGGUGCUGCCUGCGCGUUCACCUGAGUCUCGCUGGAGCUCUUCUCGCCCGCCCACCUCAUCUCAACCCACUUUCCGCGGGGAGCGGCACCAAGCUGGGCCUUCCUCGGAUCAGGCGUCCCCUGAAGUCGCCACGCCCCUCUGCGUCCCCCUUCGGUCCCGCUAGGACCCCGUCCGGGCUGCCGUCGCCUCGUCGCUAUGGCGCCCACCAUCCAGACCCAGGCCCAGCGGGAGGAUGGCCACAGGCCCAAUUCCCACCGGACUCUGCCUGAGAGGUCUGGAGUGGUCUGCCGAGUCAAGUACUGCAAUAGCCUCCCUGAUAUCCCCUUCGACCCCAAGUUCAUCACCUACCCGUUCGACCAGAACAGGUUCGUCCAGUACAAAGCCACUUCCUUGGAGAAACAGCACAAACAUGACCUCCUGACUGAGCCAGACCUGGGGGUCACCAUCGAUCUCAUCAAUCCUGACACCUACCGCAUCGACCCCAAUGGUGUGUGGGGACAGGGAGGGUCUGCUCUAGGUCAGCAAAGGCCCAGGCCUGGGCCUCCCUCAUGGUCCUCCUGCCCCCUGCUCUCCUCUAGUUCUUCUAGAUCCAGCUGAUGAGAAACUUUUGGAAGAGGAGAUUCAGGCCCCCACCAGCUCCAAGAGAUCCCAGCAGCACGCGAAGGUGGUGCCAUGGAUGCGAAAGACAGAGUACAUCUCCACUGAGUUCAACCGUUAUGGCAUCUCCAAUGAGAA
Molecule: small RNA, 758 nt
Filed under: Pongo abelii (Sumatran orangutan)
Lineage: Eukaryota; Metazoa; Chordata; Mammalia; Primates; Hominidae
Description: retained intron
Source: RNAcentral